This 299-nucleotide signal recognition particle RNA is filed under the name Vombatus ursinus (common wombat). RNAcentral's name for it is "Metazoan signal recognition particle RNA (ENSVURG00010005452.1)". It matches the Rfam family "Metazoan signal recognition particle RNA". From Rfam's summary of the family: The signal recognition particle (SRP) is a universally conserved ribonucleoprotein. It is involved in the co-translational targeting of proteins to membranes. The record is from Rfam by way of RNAcentral. Lineage: Eukaryota; Metazoa; Chordata; Mammalia; Diprotodontia; Vombatidae.
GUGUGGUGGAUGUAUACACCUAUAGUCUCUGUUGCUGGGGACACUGAGGCUAGUGGAUCUUUUGAGCUGGGGAGUUCUGAGCUUCGAAAGGGCUAAAGACAGUCAGUUAUCUGUUCUAAGACUGACGUCUUUAUGAUGAGCCUCUGGGAGGAGAAGGAGGGGCAUCAGGAUGCUUAAGGAGAGGUGGAUUGGCCCAGGUUGGAAACAGAGCAGGUCAAAGCUUCUGUGUCAAACCACAGGGUAAUCAGGCCUGUGUGUAAGAUAGGAGGACUCAAUCUCAAAGUAAAUAAAGGAAACAU